GGGGCCGUAGCUCAGUUGGGAGAGCGCUUGCAUGGCAUGCAAGAGGUCGAGGGUUCGACUCCCUUCGGCUCCA
RNAcentral lists this transfer RNA (73 nucleotides) under cyanobacterium TDX16. RNAcentral's name for it is "tRNA-Ala". It matches the Rfam family "tRNA". Rfam says of the family: Transfer RNA (tRNA) molecules are approximately 80 nucleotides in length. Their secondary structure includes four short double-helical elements and three loops (D, anti-codon, and T loops). Lineage: Bacteria; Bacillati; Cyanobacteriota. The record is from RNAcentral. RNAcentral also lists the same sequence under 5 other names.